AAGUUAGCGGCGGACGGGUGAGUAACACGUGGGUAACCUGCCCAUAAGACUGGGAUAACUCCGGGAAACCGGGGCUAAUACCGGAUAACAUUUUGAACUGCAUGGUUCGAAAUUGAAAGGCGGCUUCGGCUGUCACUUAUGGAUGGACCCGCGUCGCAUUAGCUAGUUGGUGAGGUAACGGCUCACCAAGGCAACGAUGCGUAGCCGACCUGAGAGGGUGAUCGGCCACACUGGGACUGAGACACGGCCCAGACUCCUACGGGAGGCAGCAGUAGGGAAUCUUCCGCAAUGGACGAAAGUCUGACGGAGCAACGCCGCGUGAGUGAUGAAGGCUUUCGGGUCGUAAAACUCUGUUGUUAGGGAAGAACAAGUGCUAGUUGAAUAAGCUGGCACCUUGACGGUACCUAACCAGAAAGCCACGGCUAACUACGUGCCAGCAGCCGCGGUAAUACGUAGGUGGCAAGCGUUAUCCGGAAUUAUUGGGCGUAAAGCGCGCGCAGGUGGUUUCUUAAGUCUGAUGUGAAAGCCCACGGCUCAACCGUGGAGGGUCAUUGGAAACUGGGAGACUUGAGUGCAGAAGAGGAAAGUGGAAUUCCAUGUGUAGCGGUGAAAUGCGUAGAGAUAUGGAGGAACACCAGUGGCGAAGGCGACUUUCUGGUCUGUAACUGACACUGAG
This 676-nucleotide ribosomal RNA is filed under the name uncultured bacterium. RNAcentral describes it as "bacterial SSU rRNA". It matches the Rfam family "Bacterial small subunit ribosomal RNA", at positions 89 to 750 of the family's 1533-position model. The record is from RNAcentral.